GGACCCGCACAAGCGGUGGAGCAUGUGGUUUAAUUCGAUGCAACGCGAAAAACCUUACCUAUACUUGACAUACUUGGAAUGCUUUGUAAUGAAGCAGUGCCUUCGGGAGCCAGGAUACAGGUGCUGCAUGGCUGUCGUCAGCUCGUGUCGUGAGAUGUUCCGUUAAGUCGGAUAACGAGCGCAACCCUUACCCUUAUUUGCCAGCGAUUCGGUCGGGAACUAUAAGGGGACUGCCGGUGAUAAACCGGAGGAAGGUGAGGACGACGUCAAGUCAUCAUGGCCCUUACGUAUAGGGCUACACACGUGCUACAAUGGAGAAUACAGACGGACGCUAAGCCGCGAGUGGUGCCC
This 351-nucleotide ribosomal RNA is filed under the name uncultured bacterium. RNAcentral describes it as "bacterial SSU rRNA". It matches the Rfam family "Bacterial small subunit ribosomal RNA", at positions 917 to 1270 of the family's 1533-position model. The record is from RNAcentral.